Molecule: long non-coding RNA, 1644 nt
Organism: Neopelma chrysocephalum (saffron-crested tyrant-manakin)
Lineage: Eukaryota; Metazoa; Chordata; Aves; Passeriformes; Pipridae
Exons: 3
Source: RefSeq, a predicted model, not a curated record
UUCCAGCAGUAGACCCUAUCCUCUCAAUGGAUUACUUUUCCAGCAAAGCCUCCUUAAGGCAAGACAUCCAACAGGGUUGGAUGCCCCAACCCUGGCAGUGUUCAAAGCCAGGCUGGAUAAGGCCUUGAGCAACCUGGUCUAGUGGGAGGUGUCCCUGCACAUAGCAGGGGUUUGGAACUACGUAGUGUUUAAGGUCCAUACCAAUCCCUUAACAUUCCAUGAUUCUACGUUUCUGUGACAUAAAAGGCUUGGAUGUAAAAUUCCCACAAGCAAUCUAUAUCUCACAAAGCUGCACCUUUCCUCAGCUUUCCUGACAAUUUCCCAAUAUGUUCUCCAACUAUGUGCCAAGACUGACCUUUUCCCCCCUAAGAGGUAUCAGUUAAGCCCACAGGAAAGGCACAUGUGUCUCAUUGCUGAGAGCUGGCCAGGAGCUCUGCAAAUGUUGGCUGCUCUAUCAGGAUAAUUGGAGAAGGCCAAAAGUACAAGUGUGGGAAUACUACAAGAAAUGCUUACAGAUGGACUGAUUCUCUCUAGAUGGGAUUGAAACAGCUGAACAUGUGCAGUCUGUACUUCUGCAGAUCAGAGGUCUUUACCUCCAGUCAGGAUUGAUCUUACAUGAAGAACAACAGAGGAACACUUGGAGUGUUUCCUGAAUUUACUUGCAACAAGAUGAUCUGAAAAUAGUGCUUCUUGUCUGUGUCAUGCUCCUGAAAAUAUGCUUCAUGUCAGACAAACACAGAAAGGCUUGCUCUUGUUUAAGAAGUAGGAAUAGGAAAAAAACCACAAAGAAAUAAUCUUAAAAAGCACAGGCCAAUAGCAGGUACAAAGGUAAAGAAAACUACUGAUAUUCUGGUGAAGAUCUGAAGGUAGAGAGAGGCAUUUUCCCAGUCUCCCUGCAGGCCUGAUGUGACCACAUGCAUGGAACAGGCUGUGCAGGGGUGUGCCAGCCCGGAGUGCCUUGGCACAGAAAGAGCAGACCUACAUCUCUGUCCUCUCCAUAGCCCUGCUGUGUGGGCUGUGAGAUCACACAGCUUGGGGCUUUUUUUUCUUCUGAAUUACCAGAGGAAGCUUGUGCAUCAGACACCCAUCAGAAAAUGAAAAAACAGACUCAAAAAUAAGAAUGGAAGCAAGAUACCAAUCUUCACCUAUGAGUUUUCCACAGGCUAAUAAACGAAACAUCCUCACAUUGAAAAAAUCAGAGUGUCAGAUAUAUCAGUCAUCAAGAAAAUUUUCAAGGGACAGAAAAUGCAAACCGAACAGAUUACAAUAAGAAGCAAGCAAGAUAUACAAGUUUAAUAACUUAGAGAUAUUUUUUCAUCACUAGCCUCUGACAUUUUGGCUUGCCACUCUGAAAGUACACUGAAUAAACAUUCAAGACAUCUAAUUUUCCUGCAGUAUUAUUUAAAAUGAAAUAAUGAAUAGGAAGAUUAUUGGACUAAAGCAAUAAGCACAUUUAUAGACCAUUCACAAAUGCUGGAGGCUUGAGAACCACAAGGGCUUUUUCUUAAUUAUGUACAUGCUGUUUAGGGAAUCACUGAAAAUCUCUUCCAUCAGAACUAGCUUGAUGGAAAACUAGGUUUUGAACAGAAGUCUUCUGCCAUUAAUCAGUCAGCUUUCUGCAGUCUGUCACUACUAAACCAAGCA